AUGGGUGAUACAAACAAAGUUCUAGUGCCUUGAGCAUGGGCUUUGACUACAACAAAUGACUCGGGAUAAAUAAAAAUUCUCAAUCUCAAGACCAAUAUCUAUAGCACCAACAAAUAUCGAGUGUAACAUAAAUGACAUUGCACUCCAAAGAGAACACAAGUUCAAACUUGGAGACAACAUUCUUGAGAGGGGCACUCACAAAUCCCCAAAAGGAUUAGUUUUCAUGGACCAUAGAAUGAACAUGGAAGAUACCU
This 254-nucleotide long non-coding RNA is filed under the name Gossypium barbadense (sea-island cotton). RNAcentral describes it as "long non-coding RNA (GBAR_LNC000485)". The record is from RNAcentral. Lineage: Eukaryota; Viridiplantae; Streptophyta; Magnoliopsida; Malvales; Malvaceae.